This 248-nucleotide ribosomal RNA is filed under the name uncultured bacterium. RNAcentral describes it as "partial 16S ribosomal RNA". It matches the Rfam family "Bacterial small subunit ribosomal RNA", at positions 791 to 1035 of the family's 1533-position model. The record is from RNAcentral.
UAGUCCACGCUGUAAACGAUGAGUGUUAGGUGUCUGGGAGAACCUGGGUGCCGCAGCAAACGCAAUAAACACUCCGCCUGGGGAGUACGCACGCAAGUGUGAAACUCAAAGGAAUUGACGGGGACCCGCACAAGCAGCGGAGCAUGUGGUUUAAUUCGACGCAACGCGAAGAACCUUACCAAGUCUUGACACCCUAACUAUGAAAAUCCAUAGAGAUAUGGAUCUAUGACUUCGGUCGACAUAGCUAC